CAGAAGGUGAAAUCAUUGAAUAGGAAAUUAUCAUGUGUUGGAAGAAGGAAUGUGUUGCUCCUUGUUAUAUAAGACCAUAAACUAUUCUGGCAGCCUAUAUAUUGUUUUAUAGUUCUGAACUACUAAGAGAAUCUCACACAUAAUACAAUUUUUGACUGUCUACUAAAGGUAAUUUAAAUCUCAACAGAAUUUUAGCUUUUGUUAUGUAAUAUAUAGUCAAGUUCCAUGUUGUAAACAAGCAUAAUCUAUUCUAAAUUUCGCAAAACAUUCUGAAAUCUAUCUCUUAGGUAGCAACAAUGUUUGCCCUCAAAGUACAACUCAAGUAUUCCUUUUAGGAUUUUGUCUCCUAAAGUUCAUUCUCGUGUUUUUCAUGUCUUCUUCCAUUUUCUUCUCUAUCUCAUCUGGUCUUUUCUUGCCUUCCAUUUUCCUUUCUUUUCCUUCUUCUUCCAUGUCCCUCUCCU
Triticum aestivum (bread wheat) is the source of this 461-nucleotide long non-coding RNA. RefSeq lists it as uncharacterized. Lineage: Eukaryota; Viridiplantae; Streptophyta; Magnoliopsida; Poales; Poaceae. The record is from RefSeq and is a predicted model, not a curated record. The transcript is spliced from 3 exons.